CAGAGGGUGCGAGCGUUAAUCGGAAUUACUGGGCGUAAAGAGCACGUAGGUGGUUAUAUAAGUCGUUAGUGAAAUGCCUGAGCUUAACUUAGGCCUGUCUGGCGAAACUGUAUAGCUUGAGUUCUGUAGAGGGUAGUGGAAUUCCUGGUGUAGCGGUGAAAUGCGUAGAUAUCAGGAGGAACACCCGUGGCGAAGGCGGCUACCUGGACAGAAACUGACACUGAGGUGCGGAAGCGUGGGUAGCGAACAGGAUUAGAUACCCUGGUAGUCCACGCCGUAAAUGGUGUCAACUAGCUGUUGGUGCUUUUGAAGCGCCAGUAGCGUAGCUAACGCGCUAAGUUGACCGCCUGGGGAGUACGGCCGCAAGGUUA
Molecule: ribosomal RNA, 371 nt
Filed under: uncultured organism
Description: bacterial SSU rRNA
Rfam family: Bacterial small subunit ribosomal RNA
Source: RNAcentral